Molecule: ribosomal RNA, 628 nt
Filed under: Salmonella enterica
Lineage: Bacteria; Pseudomonadati; Pseudomonadota; Gammaproteobacteria; Enterobacterales; Enterobacteriaceae
Also listed under: 1 other name
Description: partial 23S ribosomal RNA
Rfam family: Bacterial large subunit ribosomal RNA
Source: RNAcentral
CGUAUCACCCAAGACAACUUUACGGAGUUGACGAUUGACGGAGCGAAGCGACGUCAAAGCGUUCAUUAAAGUCGAGUUGGCUUAGGGAUACGUUCGUUGGGUAGGGGAGCGUUCUGUAAGCCUGUGAAGGUGUGUCGUGAGGCAUGCUGGAGGUAUCAGAAGUGCGAAUGCUGACAUAAGUAACGAUAAAGCGGGUGAAAAGCCCGCUCGCCGGAAGACCAAGGGUUCCUGUCCAACGUUAAUCGGGGCAGGGUGAGUCGACCCCUAAGGCGAGGCCGAAAGGCGUAGUCGAUGGGAAACGGGUUAAUAUUCCCGUACUUGGUGUUACUGCGAAGGGGGGACGGAGAAGGCUAUGUUGGCCGGGCGACGGUUGUCCCGGUUUAAGCGUGUAGGUGUGUGUUCCAGGUAAAUCCGGUUCACUUUAACACUGAGGCGUGACGACGAGGCACUACGGUGCUGAAGCAACAAAUGCCCUGCUUCCAGGAAAAGCCUCUAAGCAUCAGGUAACACGAAAUCGUACCCCAAACCGACACAGGUGGUCAGGUAGAGAAUACCAAGGCGCUUGAGAGAACUCGGGUGAAGGAACUAGGCAAAAUGGUGCCGUAACUUCGGGAGAAGGCACGCUGAC